UACGAAGGGGGCUAGCGUUGUUCGGAAUUACUGGGCGUAAAGGGCUCGUAGGCGGCCAACUAAGUCAGACGUGAAAUCCCUCGGCUUAACCGGGGAACUGCGUCUGAUACUGGAUGGCUUGAGAUUGGGAGAGGGUAGCGGAAUUCCCGGUGUAGUGGUGGAAUGCGUAGAGAUCGGGAGGAACACCAGUGGCGAAGGCGGCUACCUGGACCUCGGCUGACGCUGAGGCGCGAAAGCGUGGGGAGCGAUCCGG
This 253-nucleotide ribosomal RNA is filed under the name uncultured bacterium. Its description in RNAcentral is "partial 16S ribosomal RNA". It matches the Rfam family "Bacterial small subunit ribosomal RNA", at positions 524 to 776 of the family's 1533-position model. The record is from RNAcentral.